UCUAACGUGGCAGAAUAGUGCAAUGGAUUUAAGCCCCAUAUAUAAAGAUUCUUUCUUUCUUUAGAA
Molecule: transfer RNA, 66 nt
Filed under: Staphylinidae sp. BMNH 1274251
Lineage: Eukaryota; Metazoa; Arthropoda; Insecta; Coleoptera; Staphylinidae
Description: tRNA-Leu
Rfam family: tRNA
About the family: Transfer RNA (tRNA) molecules are approximately 80 nucleotides in length. Their secondary structure includes four short double-helical elements and three loops (D, anti-codon, and T loops).
Source: RNAcentral